This 102-nucleotide non-coding RNA is filed under the name uncultured Lachnospira sp. Its description in RNAcentral is "Fusobacteriales-1 RNA". It matches the Rfam family "Fusobacteriales-1 RNA". Lineage: Bacteria; Bacillati; Bacillota; Clostridia; Lachnospirales; Lachnospiraceae. The record is from RNAcentral.
UAUAAAUAAGAAAUCAGUCAGAUUUCAACAAACACGCUUCACAAUGUGCGACAAAGAAACAUUGUUUACUCAAAUGCAUUUCGCAAUGUAUGCUUAAACAUU